GACGAACGCUGGCGGCGUGCUUAAUACAUGCCAGUCGAACGGAAAGGCCCUGCUUUUGUGGGGUGCUCGAGUGGCGAACGGGUGAGUAACACGUGAGUAACCUGCCCUUGACUUUGGGAUAACUUCAGGAAACUGGGGCUAAUACCGGAUAGGAGCUCCUGCUGCAUGGUGGGGGUUGGAAAGUUUCGGCGGUUGGGGAUGGACUCGCGGCUUAUCAGCUUGUUGGUGGGGUAGUGGCUUACCAAGGCUUUGACGGGUAGCCGGCCUGGGAGGGUGACCGGCCACAUUGGGACUGAGAUACGGCCCAGACUCCUACGGGAGGCAGCAGUGGGGAAUAUUGCACAAUGGGCGGAAGCCUGAUGCAGCAACGCCGCGUGCGGGAUGACGGCCUUCGGGUUGUAAACCGCUUUCGCCUGUGACGAAGCGUGAGUGACGGUAAUGGGUAAAGAAGCACCGGCUAACUACGUG
This 468-nucleotide ribosomal RNA is filed under the name uncultured bacterium. Its description in RNAcentral is "partial 16S ribosomal RNA". It matches the Rfam family "Bacterial small subunit ribosomal RNA", at positions 28 to 507 of the family's 1533-position model. The record is from RNAcentral.